This 492-nucleotide ribosomal RNA is filed under the name uncultured bacterium. Its description in RNAcentral is "partial 16S ribosomal RNA". It matches the Rfam family "Bacterial small subunit ribosomal RNA", at positions 29 to 507 of the family's 1533-position model. The record is from RNAcentral.
AGUGAACUCUGGCGGUAGGCCUAACACAUGCAAGUCGAACGGCAGCACAGUAAGAGCUUGCUCUUACGGGUGGCGAGUGGCGGACGGGUGAGGAAUACAUCGGAAUCUACUUUUUCGUGGGGGAUAACGUAGGGAAACUUACGCUAAUACCGCAUACGACCUACGGGUGAAAGCAGGGGAUCUUCGGACCUUGCGCGAUUGAAUGAGCCGAUGUCGGAUUAGCUAGUUGGCGGGGUAAAGGCCCACCAAGGCGACGAUCCGUAGCUGGUCUGAGAGGAUGAUCAGCCACACUGGAACUGAGACACGGUCCAGACUCCUACGGUAGGCAGCAGUGGGGAAUAUUGGGCGAUGGACGCAAGCCUGAUCCAGCCAUACCGCGUGGGUGAAGAAGGCCUUCGGGUUGUAGAGCCCUUUUGUUGGGAAAGAAAAGCAGCAGGUUAAUACCCCGCUGUUCUGACGGUACCCAAAGAAUAAGCACCGGCUAACUUCGUG